This 2802-nucleotide long non-coding RNA is filed under the name Marmota monax (woodchuck). Lineage: Eukaryota; Metazoa; Chordata; Mammalia; Rodentia; Sciuridae. The record is from RNAcentral.
GCAAGGCAAAACGCUGGAUACAUGAGAAAGUGUUUUCCUGGGCUCUGAGAAACACUGAGACCUCUAAGCCUUGUUACCAAGAAUGUCUCCUGUCAUGGCCUCCCAGAAACUAAAGAGGAGCAAUUGGGAGUGUUCUCAGCAUUGACUCUAAGUCUUUGUGCAGACAAGGGGAGUGGCUGGAGGAGAGGUCUCUGCCUGGACAUUUUAUUAAAUGGGCCCUGGGGGAAACACAGAUCCACAUCAUCCCAGAUGAACCCAUGACCCCUGCACAAUAGAGAUCUGAGAGGCAGAUGUGUGGUGCCUUUGACUUGGAAAACAUUUCUGCCAUGGCUCCCAUUUCACCACUCCCAAGUUUGGGUACCAUUUUUCAAGUUUACUCAUCCAUUCACCUUGGAGGCCCAGACUUUUCUCAUCUCCCCUUGGAAAGGUAUAUUUACUGAAGGGACCUUGGGACCUCCUGGCCAAUGGGUCUUCUUUCUUCCUAUAGCAUUGAAACUCUUAUAGCUGGGUUAUGUACUGUGCCCUGCUGUUCUCUCCUAGACCUCACUUUCGUCAUCGGUAAAAUAAGCAGAGGCAGACUUUCUUUCUCCACAAAACCUAUGUGUAAUUACAAUAGGUAAAAUAAUGUGCUGGUAGAGCUGUUUUGCAAGAAUAAGCAAGGAACCCCGGAACCUCAUCUCUGCUUGUGUUUUUUCCUCAAUUGCUUUGAUGGUCUCUGAGGCCCACAAGGCCAGAAUGGUCCAGCUUCCACCAGUCACUACUUGAGUCUCCAGGACUAGAUGACUGCUAAGUCUUUCCAACUCUCAGAUUUGGAGGUUCCAAUUAUUCCAUGGGCAAAUGACCAACUCCAGCCUCCAGGAUUGUUUUGGUAUAUGUAAGAUAAAAAGGGUGGAGCCUCUGGCUUUUGUCUUCCUAGUGGUUUACCCUCUUCAGAUGAAAAAGCUUGAUAAUUCGGGGUCUUCUAAGUCAAUUUAAUUUUAUUUUUUACUUAUUUGAUUGUUUUGGUAACGGGCAUGGAACCCAAGGGUGUUUAACUACUGAACCACAUCUCUAGCCCUAUUUAUUUAUUUUAUAUAUUUAUUUAUUUAUUUUUAUGGUGCUGAGGAUCAAAACCAGGGCCUCGAACGUGUUAGGCAAGCGCUCUACCGCUAAGCCGCAAUCCCAGCCCCUAGCCUUAUUUAUUUAUUUAUUUUUAUUCUGAGACAGGGCCUUGCUAAGUUGCUGAGGCUAGUUUUGAACUUGAGAUCCUCCUGACUCAGCUUCCUGAGUUGCUGGGAUUACAAGCAUGCACCAUGGCACCCUGCUUCUAAACCAAUUUUAUAAAAUUGCAUACUUGGGGAAACUUCUCCCACAUGGUGUUUUCCCAGUUGAUUUGGGAGGGCCCAGGGUAACACCCACAUCAUUGCCCCAAAGAGGGUCACCAUACUUUGUAUUUGGCAACUUCAAUGAACUGGUCUGUUUUGAGGGGGUGUCGGGAGCUGAAACAGAUGUCCUUGGGAAACACCCAGCAAAGGGUGGACUUGACUUUCUGGAACUUCCCUGGUCAUAAAUCUCAGGCAUCCUUCCUGGAGGACUGGAGAGACCAGUGUCACUGGGAGGCUCUUGGCAGUGGCUUGGCCUUUUCUACCCGCUCUGUGCUUUCUCUUGGUCACAUGACCUGCUGGCUGGCUGCUUUCUUCUGGAGCCCUUGGUUUCUUAAACGAUAAUGAAUGAAAGAUCAAAAUCUGUCCCACACAGGUCAUCUUUGCCAUCUUAAUAUUUGUUAAGCUUUUUUGAUUUACUGAGAAGUUAAAGUCUCAUCAGAUCACAAAACUGCACAUUAGAUCUGCUUCAUGAAACACCUUGAGUGAACAAUUUAACUCAUUUAUUUCACCAUCUUUAAACCAAUGUAGCUGAAGAAUUGUACCUCCCCUUUAUAAAUCUUUCUAUUUAUCUCUGACUCAGGUUUAUGGGGAGGGUGCAGACCUAGCCCAUUCUGCCGUUUUACACAUGGCCAUUGAAACCCGAACACGGACUGCUUGUAAUGGUGAGCAAGCCCAGCUGACAUGUGUUAAAUCAGCCAGAGAGAAAUUUCAUUUGGGAAGCCUGAGGAAUGUGCUUUGCACCUAGGGCUUCCCUUGGGCAUUUGAGAUUCACCAAUAUCUCACCCUUCUCUCUCUCGAAUCACCUCUUGUGUUCUUUCCCUGUUUGUUUCUUUCAUUCCACCAAGUCCAACUAAUUUAAAGGGAAAUUUAACCAGUCAAGGUUCUACAGAGAAUCCAUAUCCGUUGUCCUAAAAGGUAGGGUUCAGGCUUGGGUGAAAGAGAGGGUUAGCACUUAAGCAAAUUAGGUCAGAAAAAAUUUAGACUAUAGCUUUCCUCCACUGAACUCUUAUUUUUUAUUUCUUCUGAGGAAAGAUUAUAUCCGAAGAGGAACACAGUUACUCUGGCAUCUCUGUUACCAUAGGAGAGGUGGGGAGACUUUGCUCCUGAAUUAAGAUCCCAGUGUUGGGCUGAGCUUGGUAAGGGGGGACCUUCUUUGGCUGCCUGACCUGUUCCUACUGUGAUCUAAUUAGGGAAAAGACACCAGGUCAGCUCUAUUUUUAUCUUUAAGUUAUUUUGAGUUUUAUUUGCAGUCUAAUAUAUAAUCAAUUUUAAAAAGUGUUCCAAGGAUAUUUGAAAAGUAUAAGUAUUCUGUUUUCUAUUAUGAAGUUCAGACUCUAUUAAAUUGGGUUUAUGAUGAUGAUCUUCAAAUCUGUUAUGUAUUUAUUUUUUUAAUCUAUUUUAUCUAUUGAUUUUUUUUAAAAUAAAAGUUAAUGUUUCC